RNAcentral lists this ribosomal RNA (498 nucleotides) under Triticum aestivum (bread wheat). Its description in RNAcentral is "partial small subunit ribosomal RNA". The record is from RNAcentral. Lineage: Eukaryota; Viridiplantae; Streptophyta; Magnoliopsida; Poales; Poaceae.
AUGUGGAGGAAGGCCUCACUGCCCCGUCGAUUUGCAAGCAUGAAUCAAGCGAGCUCCACCCCGAAGUGGAGGAAAUGGUACGCGGCCGUCGAUCUGCGCGCGUCUAACCAUGGAGAUGGAGGGCUCGCCCCCUCGCGCGCUCCUCCACGGAGUGCUAGCAGCCCACACGGCGUACAUCAGCCAUCCGUUUCGUCCGUCCCAUGCGCCGGCCGCUGGUGGCUACCGCUCUGUUCUGUUCAUCCCCCGCCCGCCGCACGCGAUGGCCCACACUGCCAUGUUGUUUUGCUGCGGCCAGACCGCCGUCCCUGCCCUCGCGCUCCGGGCAGAGCCUCAUUCUUGCUGGUAUGCGUUCCUCCCGGCGGUGGCGCUCUGCCCACUGCGUCGCCUUUCUUCCAGCGGCUGCGCCGUUCAACCCCUACCUCUAACCUAUUGAUCUGGCAACAUAGAGAGGAAGCUGCAAAGACGCGUGAUGAGUUUCGACUUUGGACAUCUGAAUAG